AAAGGGCAAUGCUCCGACAGAAGAACAUCACAAAGUCGAGAGCAGAGAGCGCCUCGUAGCAUCAGCAAGUAUUCCUUGCCAGGUUCCUGCUUCAGUUGUUCUGCUGUCUCUGUGAACUCGACCGCGGCGUCGACCAUGAGCUACCCACCACCGGGCACCGCGUACCCGCCGCCGGGCCAGGAGGCCUACCCGCCUCCAGGGUACGGCGCGCCGCCGCCUGUCGCCGCUAACUACCAGCAGCAGGCCCCGCCGCAGGACUCGCAGGACCGCGGCGGCGACGGCUUCUGGAAAGGAUGUUGUGCUGCUAUUUGCUGCUGCUGUCUGCUCGACAUGUGCUUCUGAUCACAAGUUCCUACUGCCAGCAGCAGGCAAUCCGACGAUGAUCUACUCACUCAGAGCUGCUCAUAGUUGACCAUGGUUAUUUCUAUUGUAGUAUUUGUGCUGUUCGGGUGGAGAUUUGUAUGGGUUGUACUAGUUAAUUUUGCAUCUGGGUUUUGGCUUCAUUCUGUAUCACGGUAUUGUUAUUGGCAGAGUCUUAGUCUCUUCAGUUUGUUGGUGAUGAAUAACACGUAGCGGUAGCAUGCGAGAAUUCUUGACGACAUACCGACGAUUUUGAUUGUCUGUUCCAGUUGAUUUGAUUCAUGCUCCAAA
Aegilops tauschii subsp. strangulata is the source of this 651-nucleotide long non-coding RNA. RefSeq lists it as uncharacterized. NCBI's taxonomy places the organism in Eukaryota, Viridiplantae, Streptophyta, Magnoliopsida, Poales, Poaceae. The record is from RefSeq and is a predicted model, not a curated record.